Non-coding RNA from Chrysemys picta bellii (western painted turtle), 1300 nucleotides. The record is from RefSeq and is a predicted model, not a curated record. Lineage: Eukaryota; Metazoa; Chordata; Testudines; Emydidae.
UGUCUUCUCUCUUGAUGAAGGACAGUGCUUUGAUCAUUGUCAUUCAGCCUUGACUUGGCCUGAGGUUUAGGUUCUCAGCCUAGAAGACAGUAGGCUAUCUUCUCUCUCUCUCUCUCUCUCUCUCUCUCUGACACACACACACGUACGUUUGCUGGUCUGUGCAGGCAGAUUAGUGUCACAGCUGUAACUGAGGCACAGAGCAAUAAACAUAGCAGAAGCAAUUUCCAUGGUGGCAAGAGGGGGCACGGGAGGUGACGACAAUGAGAAGGAUCUCUUCUUCUGACAAGUUUUAGAUACUACAGGCUUAUUGAACAAUCCAUCGACCCUUCUGUAGUGAGUCCACUUAGUGCAGAAUGGCUGCAGGGAAACUAUUCAGACAUCCCGAUUGGAACAAAUCCCUUCAGGAUUUAACGCAGGAAGCACGGGACGUUUACGCAGGUACGAUAAAUAAAUGAAUAUUGGACUACAUCACAUAGGUCCUGGAGAACAAAAGAGGCUUUGCACUGAAAUACCUCCAAAGCUUUCUGAAAAUGCUAAUAGAGAGAAGUUUUCCUGGCAUGAAAAAGUAAAUCAUGCACAAAGUUAGUUGAACAACAUUUUAUACAUCACUCAUCCUGUUACAUCCAUGAAGCUGAUCCAUUUCCCUAUAAGGACGAAUCUUUGGCUGACCUCGUUGAGAUGAAUGAAGAACAUGGCAGAUGAAAUGAGAAGGAGGGGAUUAUCCAUCUGAAAACUGAGGACAUCCAGUUAAAGCUCAUCUUCUUUUAAUCUUCAUGGUUUAUCAAUGCAAGAAAAAGGCAGUGGCUGACAGAGGCAAAGGAAGUUCUUCUUACUGCUCUCAGUGGAUGAUUGAUCAUACCCGCCAGCUGGCUAAUAUCAUAAUUAACAAAGUUGCUACCACGUCUGAGAAGUAUAAUCGAAAAAUUUACCAGCAGCGUGAUGCCAUUGUCACAAAGAUCAUAAGCACUGCAGAGUCAACUUUUGCACUCGGGAGCUGCAGAACUAUGUAGAUGUGCUGAGAAGGGGUGCACUUGUACAGCUAAAGAUGUAAAAACUGAGAACAAUGUCUGAGCUGCUAUCUAGAGACCCAAUUCACAUUGCAUUUAUAAAACAUUCUUGAGAUGCGAUUGCAGAAAGAGGAGGAUUUAGUUCUGGCAAAACUAGUCCAGUGGCAAAGUGCAGAACUGAUGUGGCUGUCAUGGUAAAGGAAUUCCAGAAUAAAGAACCAUUGUCUGAAGCUAAUCUUUACAUGCAGGAGCUAGAUGGUAUCAAUGGGAAAAAAUGGGAACUCAUUAAAGAG